RNAcentral lists this ribosomal RNA (377 nucleotides) under uncultured delta proteobacterium. RNAcentral describes it as "bacterial SSU rRNA". It matches the Rfam family "Bacterial small subunit ribosomal RNA", at positions 521 to 896 of the family's 1533-position model. Lineage: Bacteria; Deltaproteobacteria. The record is from RNAcentral.
UAAUACGGAGGGUGCAAACGUUGUUCGGAAUUACUGGGCGUAAAGCGCAUGUAGGCGGAUAUGUAGGUCAGAUGUGAAAGCCCUUGGCUCAACCAAGGAAGUGCAUCUGAAACCCCAUAUCUUGAGUAUGACAGAGGGAAGUGGAAUUUCCAGUGUAGAGGUGAAAUUCAUAGAUAUUGGAAAGAACACCGGUGGCGAAGGCGGCUUUCUGGGUCAUUACUGACGCUGAGAUGCGAAAGCGUGGGGAGCAAACAGGAUUAGAUACCCUGGUAGUCCACGCCGUAAACGAUGUCAACUAGCCGUUGCGGGUAUCGACCCCUGCAGUGGCGAAGCUAACGCGAUAAGUUGACCGCCUGGGGAGUACGGUCGCAAGAUUA